AUACAGGAUUAGAGCUCAAUGGGAAAGAAAAAGAUCAAUGGCGUUUAAGGCUUUGUCUGUAUCAAGGAUGUAAAACCCCAAAAUAGGACUAUAUAGUAUAGGUGAUGCUUCUGUGAAAUUAAUCUGGAUGCAAGUUGACUGGUCUACAAUCUGGUCAGCUGCUAUGGAAAUUUCAUCAGCCAAAAUCUUCUUGUAGAUCCAGCCUGCAGUGCCUUUCCGCAAGCCGCGUGCACUGCCCAGCUGUAAGGUCCAGCUGCUCCU
This is a long non-coding RNA of Nothoprocta perdicaria, 261 nucleotides long. RefSeq lists it as uncharacterized. The transcript is spliced from 3 exons. The record is from RefSeq and is a predicted model, not a curated record. NCBI's taxonomy places the organism in Eukaryota, Metazoa, Chordata, Aves, Tinamiformes, Tinamidae.